Molecule: ribosomal RNA, 490 nt
Filed under: uncultured bacterium
Lineage: Bacteria
Description: partial 16S ribosomal RNA
Rfam family: Bacterial small subunit ribosomal RNA
Source: RNAcentral
AUUGAACGCUGGCGGCAGGCCUAACACAUGCAAGUCGAACGGUAACAGGAAGCAGCUUGCUGCUUCGCUGACGAGUGGCGGACGGGUGAGUAAUGUCUGGGAAACUGCCUGAUGGAGGGGGAUAACUACUGGAAACGGUAGCUAAUACCGCAUAACGUCGCAAGCCCAAAGAGGGGGACCUUAGGGCCUCUUGCCAUCGGAUGUGCCCAGAUGGGAUUAGCUAGUAGGUGGGGUAACGGCUCACCUAGGCGACGAUCCCCAGCCGGUCUGAGAGGAUGACCAGCCACACUGGAACUGAGACACGGUCCAGACUCCUACGGGAGGCAGCAGUGGGGAAUAUUGCACAAUGGGCGCAAGCCUGAUGCAGCCAUGCCGCGUGUAUGAAGAAGGCCUUCGGGUUGUAAAGUACUUUCAGCGGGGAGGAAGGGAGUAAAGUUAAUACCUUGGCUCAUUGACGUUACCCGCAGAAGAAGCACCGGCUAACUCCGUG